UACGGAGGGUGCGAGCGUUGUCCGGAAUCACUGGGCGUAAAGGGCGCGUAGGUGGCGCGGGCAGUCAACGGUGAAAGUUCGGGGCUCAACCCUGAAUCGGCCGUCGAUACUCCCGGGCUUGAGCACUGUAGAGGCAGAUGGAACUCCGGGUGUAGCGGUGGAAUGCGUAGAGAUCCGGAAGAACACCGGUGGCGAAGGCGGUCUGCUGGGCAGUAGCUGACACUGAGGCGCGACAGCGUGGGGAGCAAACAGG
RNAcentral lists this ribosomal RNA (253 nucleotides) under uncultured bacterium. RNAcentral's name for it is "partial 16S ribosomal RNA". It matches the Rfam family "Bacterial small subunit ribosomal RNA", at positions 524 to 776 of the family's 1533-position model. The record is from RNAcentral.